CUGUUUGUCCAUCUGUCCAAUUACCUGUGAGUCUAUCUAUGCAUCUUCUUGUCCAUUCAUCUGCCCACCCAUCUGUCCCUCCAUCUGCCCACCGGCCUCCCCUCUCCUUCUGGGCCGCAGAGCCAUGGCCCAGGACUACGGAGCCAUGGGUGACCUGGUCCUGCUGGGGCUGGGGCUGGGGCUGGCGCUGGCUGUCAUUGUGCUGGCUGUGGUCCUCUCUCGACACCAGGCCCCAUUUGACCCCCGGCCUUUGCCCACGCCGCUGUUGCUGCUGACUCCAAGGUCUUCUCAAAUAUUGUACGGCAGGAAACUGCAUAUCUUCUGGUUUACAUGAAGAUGGAGUGCUAAUGGAAAUGCC
Homo sapiens (human) is the source of this 358-nucleotide long non-coding RNA. Ensembl annotates it as family with sequence similarity 247 member B. Its record names the gene FAM247B. Lineage: Eukaryota; Metazoa; Chordata; Mammalia; Primates; Hominidae. The record is from Ensembl.